RNAcentral lists this ribosomal RNA (1250 nucleotides) under Gomphiocephalus hodgsoni. RNAcentral's name for it is "16S ribosomal RNA". The stretch from base 811 to 1170 matches the Rfam family "Archaeal large subunit ribosomal RNA", at positions 2148 to 2718 of the family's 2987-position model. Lineage: Eukaryota; Metazoa; Arthropoda; Collembola; Poduromorpha; Hypogastruridae. The record is from RNAcentral.
UUAUUUAAAAUAAUAAAAAUUUUAAUACUUUAUAUAUUUUAGUAUAAUAAAGAAUUAAUUAGUAAUUAAAUAAGCUGUACAGGGGAUUUUAUAAAAUAAAUAUAAUAAAAGAUUAAAAUUUACCUUUUGUAUAAGGGAUUAUCAAAUAAUAAAUUAUUUUAUUAUUCCCGAAAUAAAGAGAAUUAAUUUAAUUAAUUAAACAAUGUGGAAGUAUUGUUAAAAAAUUAAGUUAGAGGUGAAAUAUUAGUCGGUCUUUAUAAUAUCUGGUUUCUAAGUUAUAAAUAAUUUAAUUUAUUGAGUGGGUUAUUUAUAUUUAUUAUAAAUUAUAUCUAUCUAUUAAGUUAAGCUAACAGGGUAACCUUGUUAGCAAGGUUUUAUAAUAAACUAUUUAAUUUAUGAAGAUAAAAUAGGCUUAAGAACAGCUAUUUUGUUAUUAAGUUAUAUUAAAUUUAUUAAAAUAUUGAAUUUAUUUAGUUUUUAAUUAAGUUAGAAAUUUGGGUGAUUAAAAUAUUUAAAUAUAUAAUGAUAGUAUUAGUAUAAAUUUAAAAUUAGUAGAUAAACAAAAAUAAAUAAAUUUUAUGAAUUUGACAAUAAUUUUUUAGACUGUUUAACAAAAACAUUUCUUUUAUGAUUUUAUGGAAAGUAAAAUCUGCCCACUGUAGAAUAUGAAGGGCCGCGGUAUUAUGACCGUGCUAAGGUAGCAUAAUCAUUAGUCUCUUAAUUAGAGAAUGGUAUGAAUGAUUAAACUGAGAAGUAUUUUAUUAAAUUUAAUAUUUGUAAAUUGGAAUAUAAGUGAAAAUACUUAUGUGAUUCUAUAAGACGAUAAGACCCUAUAGAUCUUUAUUAUUUUAUAGUUUUUGAGUAUUGGGGUAUUAACAAAAACUUAAAAAUAAUUUAAUUGGGGCAAUAAAAGAAUAAAAAAAAUUUCUUGCUAAAUAAAUAUACACAAAUUUAUUAAUCUAUAUUUUAUACAUUCGUAAAAAGUUACCUUAGGGAUAACAGCGUAAUUAUUUUAAAGAGCCCAUAUCGAUAAAAUAGAUUGCGACCUCGAUGUUGAAUUAAGAAACCUAGUUGGGGCAGAUUUUAACUAAGGUGGUUUGUUCAACCAUUAAAUUCUUACAUGAUUUGAGUUCAAACCGGCGUGAGCCAGGUUGGUUUCUAUCUUUAGAAAUUUUUAAAAUUUUUUAGUACGAAAGGAUUAUUAAUUUUUAAUAUUUAUUUAAUAUUUAAUGAUAAAGUAUUUUAUGAAA